GUCCCCAUCGUCUAGAGGCCUAGGACACCGCCCUUUCACGGCGGUAACAGGGGUUCGAAUCCCCUAGGGUACGCCA
This 76-nucleotide transfer RNA is filed under the name Oceanospirillaceae bacterium. Its description in RNAcentral is "tRNA-Glu". It matches the Rfam family "tRNA". From Rfam's summary of the family: Transfer RNA (tRNA) molecules are approximately 80 nucleotides in length. Their secondary structure includes four short double-helical elements and three loops (D, anti-codon, and T loops). Further hydrogen bonds mediate the characteristic L-shaped molecular structure. tRNAs have two regions of fundamental functional importance: the anti-codon, which is responsible for specific mRNA codon recognition, and the 3' end, to which the tRNAs corresponding amino acid is attached (by aminoacyl-tRNA synthetases). tRNAs cope with the degeneracy of the genetic code in two manners: having more than one tRNA (with a specific anti-codon) for a particular amino acid; and 'wobble' base-pairing, i.e. permitting non-standard base-pairing at the 3rd anti-codon position. Lineage: Bacteria; Pseudomonadati; Pseudomonadota; Gammaproteobacteria; Oceanospirillales; Oceanospirillaceae. The record is from RNAcentral.